CGCACUAUCCGGGGAGUCAGCGGUGCCCUGUACCUGCAAUCCGCUACAGCAGGGGCGAAUUCCGGUCUUCGGGUAGAUGGUGUGUUGUCAGGCUUUGAUGAGCGGCGUAGACGAACCGGUCUUGCGCAACGCAAAUUCACGAACCAUGUCAGGCGGGGAACCGAGCAGCAUUAAGGGAAACCUUGCGUGUGCCGUGAGGGUGCCGGUUCUGAGCAAGCUGUCAAAGCAU
This 229-nucleotide signal recognition particle RNA is filed under the name bovine gut metagenome. Its description in RNAcentral is "Bacterial large signal recognition particle RNA". It matches the Rfam family "Bacterial large signal recognition particle RNA", at positions 2 to 227 of the family's 256-position model. From Rfam's summary of the family: The signal recognition particle (SRP) is a universally conserved ribonucleoprotein involved in the co-translational targeting of proteins to membranes. Archaeal SRP consists of a 7S RNA and homologues of the eukaryotic SRP19 and SRP54 proteins. The record is from RNAcentral.